Molecule: RNA transcript, 2826 nt
Organism: Sorghum bicolor (sorghum)
Lineage: Eukaryota; Viridiplantae; Streptophyta; Magnoliopsida; Poales; Poaceae
Gene name: protein SUPPRESSOR OF FRI 4
Exons: 7
Source: RefSeq, a predicted model, not a curated record
GACACAGCCCCUCCGUGCCCACACCAACCAAGCCCGCACGAGACGAGCCCCGAGACCGAGACGUCUCGCCCUCGCCUUCUUCCUCCCCUCCCCUCCCCGACCGCUGCCGCCCGCGACCUCUCGCCGAAACCCUAACCUACCUUAGACCCCGCCGCGCCGCGCCGCCCAAGGAAGGAGGGAGGGGGAGGGAGACCCACGCAUCAAAGGGCGUCCGAUGGGGAAGAAGAAGAAGCGCGUCGACAAGGUCUUCUGCUACUACUGCGACCGCGAGUUCGACGACGAGAAGAUCCUCGUCCAGCACCAGAAGGCCAAGCACUUCAAGUGCCACGUCUGCCACAAGAAGCUCUCCACCGCCUCGGGCAUGUCCAUACACGUCCUCCAGGUCCACAAGGAGUCCGUGACCAAGGUUCCUAAUGCAAAGCCUGAUAGGGAGUCAACGGAGAUAGAGAUAUUUGGAAUGCAGGGAAUUCCUGCACAUGUAUUGGCUGCCCAUUAUGGAGAAGAGGAAGAUCCUUCAGCAAAGAUGGCCAAAGUAGAAGUGCCACAGGUAAGGCCUGUUAUUAUGCCUAAUUCGCUAGGCAUGGCAUUUCCUCCGCGACCAGCUUAUGGUGUAGCACCUCCAAUCUAUAAUCCUGCACUUAAUCCUUUGAUGGCCCGUCCUCCAAUUUGGCCUGGUCCACCAGCACAAGCUUGGUAUCCACAACAAGCAGCAUAUCCACAACAACCAGCAGUUUCAGUUCCUCCAGUAGUUGCUGGGCUCCCACCACAACAACCACUAUUUCCUAUUCAGAAUGUGCCUACUCCUAUGACAUCAGCACCUGCUAAUGUACUUCAAACAUCGUUUCCUAUGGCCCCUCCAGGAGUACCGUCACCUGUUGCUCCUCAGGUUUCCCAGCCUUUGUUUCCUGUUAACACUUCAGCUGUCAAUGGAGCUGCAAGUUCCCCAUUUUUAGCAUCUGUGGUACCUGGAACCAUCCCGGCAAGUUCUCCAGCAGCAGUUGGUGCUGCAGGAAUUGGAUAUGGAGCUAACAACCAAGGCACUGGAGGUCCAGCAGUUGGAUCCUCACCUGCAGUGUCCAACAAUAAGGCGUCCGGUGCCCAACCAGCUACGAAUGAGGUCUAUCUGGUGUGGGAUGAUGAAGCAAUGUCAAUGGAGGAAAGAAGGUUGGCGUUACCCAAGUAUCAGGUGCAUGAUGAAACUAGCCAGGUAAGUUGUGUUUUUUAUGUUUCUAUACUAUUAUUGUAGUUUAUCAAACAAAAGGGUUCGUCGCUCAAUCUGCAGUUGCUGAGCAAUAGCGAUAUUAUAUUUUGACGCGUCGAACCAAUUCUUACCUAAAGUGUAUGCAUGAUUGUAUCUUCUUUGGUGCUGUACUCAUAUGGGCAGUUCAUUGUAGGGGUACUAGGGUGAUAUCUGAUAUUAGCUGUUGCAGAAUUCAAAGGCAUUUUUGUUAUCCUGAACAUGGGUUUGAGCGGUGGCCUUCAUUGUUUGUUUUGGCCCACAACAUGCUUGGGACCAUAGAUUUUGUGUUGCGGAGUGGUGGUGGCUCCCCUCAGUUUGUUGCAUUUAGAAAUUUAGUGAUGCUAUGAACCGUGCAUUUUGCAUUAUAUACUUGUGCAUAAGAAGUGUGUGAACAUCUUGGAAGGUUUUUGCUACUCUUGACUUGUUUGUGAUAUAUGAACUUGCCCAUUUCUUUUCAUUGGUAUCUGCUAUGCACAUAAUUGAUGCAUUUGAUAGUAUACACAAUUCUUUUUAGCCAAUUACUUAAAUGCAAAUUAAAACAGUACCUCGUUUACAACCAAUUAUCUUGUGUUCCAUACUUCCAUGUAUACAAUUGCCCCUUUCAUUUUUAUUUAAAAUUUUAGCACGCUCACAAUGUACUGAAUUGUGAACUUGUCAAUGACUUGAGGGCAUGUAACUUGAAUGUUUUAGAGGAAUAUGAAAUAGUCUCAUCCAGUCAUAGCAUAUGUGAGUUUGAGACGGUUCAUAUUCUGUGCCACUUUACAUUUUCACAAUGUCUCUUGUGUUGAUUGGUCACCUAUAUCCUGCUGAUUUCGCGCACAUCAGGAGUUCCAAGUAGGUAUUUACAUCGUUCUUCCUACUAGUAAGUUUUCUAUAAUCUGACAAAUUUCGUGGUGCUAUGCUAAUGGCUUGAGGGUUAUCGGCCAAGCCCUGGACAGCUGGCAAAUAUCAAAAAUAGGUGGCUGAGGUUCUGCCAAUACGGUAGCAUUUAUUGUAGCUUAAGUUUGGUCGAGAAUGUGGCAAGAGUUUUGCUCCAGGUCAGCUUUCAUUUGGCCAGUGAGCCUGAGAAGCUCUGCUUGAAUCUUUGUUCCAGAGGCACCAACCAUAUCUAACACCAAGUUUGUUGUUUCACAAUUCCUAUGAACAGAUGAACUCUGUUGACGCAGCAAUUGAUCGAAGAAUAUCAGAGAGUCGGCUGGCAGGACGCAUGGCCCUAUGAAGAUGGGGGCUUUGCUUGGUAGAUUACCCACCCCCCUUGCAGUUCACCCAAGGACUCGCCUGUGCUUUUAUCGCUGUGCAGCAGUCGGACCUGUUCAUUUAGUUAGCGCAUGGAGUUGUUGCAGUUAAAAGGAAUGUUUUGUUUCUGACUUGUUGGAGUGUGGAGCCUUUGUUCUUCUAUGUUUCCAGCAGCGAGAAGAAAAUGAAUUGUAGCCCUUAGGAGUUAAUUUGGUCCAAUUGUCACCUCUGCACGAUUGUAACCUGGUGAUGUGUUAUUGCCAAUUGAAGCCUAAUGAUGUACAUUGUCUGGAAAGCAAACUUAAAAAUGUUACCGAUUUGAAUAUUUUUGUUCCUACAGUAUUUGAGUA